GGGGGUGACUGGUUUCGACGGGGAGAUGUCCUGGCGAGAGCUGCGAGUCGAGUUGCCGCUACCUCGUAAAAACAGCGGAAACUAAAACAAUAACUGCCAACAACAACCUGGCACUGGCUGCCUAGUGCAGCCCGUCCGCGCGCCCUCGCCGACGGAGGCGCUGUCGGGCGUCACCCACGUCGGAUACCCCUUCAGGUUCGACUCCUGGCCUGGAACGGGGAAAAUCAGGGGGUAUGGAACUGUCGGAUCCCGCUCGGGGGAGCCGGCGCGCCCGAGACCAAAACCUGAGCUAGGCUCGUAGACGCUCUUGUGGGGGCCUUCUCGGACGCGGGUUCGAUUCCCGCCACCUCCACCA
This 355-nucleotide transfer-messenger RNA is filed under the name Burkholderiales bacterium. It matches the Rfam family "transfer-messenger RNA". From Rfam's summary of the family: Bacterial tmRNA, also known as 10Sa RNA or SsrA, is named for its dual tRNA and mRNA-like properties. Its role is to liberate the mRNA from a stalled ribosome. Lineage: Bacteria; Pseudomonadati; Pseudomonadota; Betaproteobacteria; Burkholderiales. The record is from RNAcentral. RNAcentral also lists the same sequence under 2 other names.